RNAcentral lists this non-coding RNA (21 nucleotides) under Caenorhabditis elegans. The record is from RNAcentral. Lineage: Eukaryota; Metazoa; Nematoda; Chromadorea; Rhabditida; Rhabditidae.
UCGGAAGAAUUUCGUUGUACC